UACUCGGGUGGCGAACGGGUGAGUAACACGUGGGUAAUCUGCCCUGCACUCUGGGAUAAGCCUGGGAAACUUGGUCUAAUACUGGAUAUGACCUUUCUCCUUAUGGGGUUUGGUGGAAAGUUUUUCGGUGUAGGAUGAGCCCGCGGCCUAUCAGCUUGUUGGUGGGGUGAUGGCCUACCAAGGCGACGACGGGUAGCCGGCCUGAGAGGGUGAUCGGCCACAUUGGGACUGAGAUACGGCCCAG
This 244-nucleotide ribosomal RNA is filed under the name uncultured Actinomycetales bacterium. RNAcentral's name for it is "partial 16S ribosomal RNA". It matches the Rfam family "Bacterial small subunit ribosomal RNA", at positions 88 to 334 of the family's 1533-position model. The record is from RNAcentral. Lineage: Bacteria; Bacillati; Actinomycetota; Actinomycetes; Actinomycetales.